Molecule: long non-coding RNA, 351 nt
Filed under: Anser cygnoides (Swan goose)
Lineage: Eukaryota; Metazoa; Chordata; Aves; Anseriformes; Anatidae
Description: lncRNA (ENSACDG00005003918.1)
Source: RNAcentral
AUGGUGCAAGACUGGAUGCCAGAGAGCUUACCCCGAAAUCAUUACCAGAUGCCAAAGAACAAACCUGAAGCAACUUCUCAAGGGCACGCAGCAACUGGUGGAAGAGCUCUGCAGUUGGAUGUCAGAUUUGUUUACCUUAGGCAUCUUCCAUCUUCGCCACCACUGCUGAAUCAGUCUUCCUUUAUGAAGCACGAUGUCCCCUUUGCAGUAGGCUGGAAAUGUGAGACGUGCUUAGGAGCAGUGCCUGGCCUGGGAAAAAGAAAUGCACCCCUCCCACCUAAGUACCACUGCAGUCCAGGUUUUAAUCUGAUAGAGCUGGGAAUGAAACUGUUCAGACUGCUAGAAGCUUGA